This is a long non-coding RNA of Corapipo altera (White-ruffed manakin), 659 nucleotides long. RefSeq lists it as uncharacterized. The transcript is spliced from 2 exons. The record is from RefSeq and is a predicted model, not a curated record. NCBI's taxonomy places the organism in Eukaryota, Metazoa, Chordata, Aves, Passeriformes, Pipridae.
CUUCAUGGUAUAUUUUGAAGUGGUGCUCAAGUUUGGCUUGUAGUGAUGAGUCUCGUAUUCUUUUAUGCUUAGGUAACUAAAAGAUUUCGUUACUACCUGCUAGAGGAGCUUGUGUUACUCCAGUGUAAUUUUUGAGGCAAUUUCUGCUCUUACAAGUUUUUAAAUGCUGGUUAACAGCAACAUUCCUUAUCCUGGAUGCCUGAAGAGAGCCAUGGCCUGCCCUUUAAUUGAAGGUUGGUUGGUGGUAGAGGUGAGAGGUUGAAUAACCGAACAUUUAUCAAGCUGGAGGUGGGGGCUAAGUGGGUUCUUGUCUUUGUUCAAUUGUGAGAUAUGUGGCAACCUCCAUUGGCUUGGUCUGUUCUUUUGGUUUGGCCAUAUCCUGAGUCACCAUGGUAUCAGGUGUUUUACUCUCGUCUUUCCCUUUUCCCUGGAAGUUCUGCACCAUGCCGAGCAGCUUCUGGAGACCACCACCGAAAUUUUGAGUCCACCUCCAAAACUGAAUACAUCCAAGGAUUGCUUCCAGACAAAAGGAAAGACACUUCUCCGACAGCAGCCAGAACCUGGGAAGGGCUCUACCUAACCACAGGAGACACCAUACCUUAGACAAACCAUAAUGAUGAAUUCUAGAAAUAAAAGCAUAUGGUUUCCAACAUAUCUCA